RNAcentral lists this ribosomal RNA (253 nucleotides) under uncultured bacterium. RNAcentral describes it as "partial 16S ribosomal RNA". It matches the Rfam family "Bacterial small subunit ribosomal RNA", at positions 524 to 776 of the family's 1533-position model. The record is from RNAcentral.
UACGUAGGGACCGAGCGUUGUCCGGAAUCAUUGGGCGUAAAGAGCGUGUAGGCGGCCACUUAAGUCCUGCGUGAAAUCUUGCGGCUCAACCGCAAGCGGUCGUGGGAAACUGGGUGGCUAGAGUGCGGGAGAGGGGAGUGGAAUUCCUGGUGUAGCGGUGGAAUGCGCAGAUAUCAGGAAGAACACCCGUGGCGAAGGCGGCUCUCUGGAACGCAACUGACGCUGAGACGCGAAAGCGUGGGGAGCAAACAGG